RNAcentral lists this long non-coding RNA (404 nucleotides) under Piliocolobus tephrosceles (Ugandan red Colobus). Its description in RNAcentral is "lncRNA (ENSPTEG00000008286.1)". Lineage: Eukaryota; Metazoa; Chordata; Mammalia; Primates; Cercopithecidae. The record is from RNAcentral.
CCCCUGCCCGGGCGUGGAGAGGCCCCCAUCCCACUCUGACCAUCUCCGUGGUGUUAACUCUGUCCCUGUCUCACCUUAUCAUUUCCAGGGUGACCGAGGCGAGAGGGGCCCAGAAGGGUUCCGCGGCCCCAAGGGUGACCUCGGCAGACCUGGUCCCAAGGGAAUCCCCGGAGUGGCCGGGCCAAGUGGGGAGCCGGGCAUGCCAGGCAAGGACGGCUGGAAUGGCGUGCCAGGACUCGAUGGCCAGAAGGUUGGCAUGGGGCUUAGGGUGUGAUGAGAGGGAGGGGACUGGAGGGGAGUUCAGCCUUCUGAGGCCUCAGCCUCCCCUUCCCCACCCCAAUCUCUGUCCUCACAGGGAGAGGCUGGUCGCAAUGGUGCUCCGGGAGAGAAGGGCCCCAAUGGGC